UGUGCCUUAAACUAAUGAGUAAGGAAAAUAACGAGCCUUGGUAACGCUCGGCUCUCACAAAUCUCAAUUUGUGGGAAUUUUUGGAGGGGUACAGG
Cordylochernes scorpioides is the source of this 95-nucleotide non-coding RNA. The record is from the annotation of a GenBank genome assembly. Lineage: Eukaryota; Metazoa; Arthropoda; Arachnida; Pseudoscorpiones; Chernetidae.